This 349-nucleotide long non-coding RNA is filed under the name Coffea arabica (coffee). Its description in RNAcentral is "long non-coding RNA (CARA_LNC001279)". Lineage: Eukaryota; Viridiplantae; Streptophyta; Magnoliopsida; Gentianales; Rubiaceae. The record is from RNAcentral.
AUAUAUGUGUGUCUUGCAUGCUGUUUUUUGUUUCAGAUGUUGUGAUUUCUGUGUCCUCCCUCAACCAAUUAGGGCCUUGAAUCCACCUUUAUUUUCCUUUUGAUAUGGUUCGGAAAGCUAUCUCAUCUUACCGGAUCAUGCAUGAGGAGUACUGUGAUGUGUCUACCUAAAUAAACCUGCAUGGGGAUUGUGAAUUGUGAUAUACCUGUCUAAAUAAACCCCGAAAGGCAGUGAGGGAAAGAAAAGAAGAAUGCAGUAUUUGCACCCUUCUUUUUUCUGUUGUUAAAUGCUAUGUGAACCUGUUUCAUGAUGUGAGAUUACAUUGGGUUAGUAGAGGCUUUGAUUUGAA